UGGCCGGACUGUGGUUGCUGGG
This 22-nucleotide unclassified non-coding RNA is filed under the name Mus musculus (house mouse). Its description in RNAcentral is "oocyte_clustered_small_RNA5305". Lineage: Eukaryota; Metazoa; Chordata; Mammalia; Rodentia; Muridae. The record is from RNAcentral.